This 574-nucleotide ribosomal RNA is filed under the name Escherichia coli. Its description in RNAcentral is "bacterial SSU rRNA". It matches the Rfam family "Bacterial small subunit ribosomal RNA", at positions 117 to 687 of the family's 1533-position model. The record is from RNAcentral. Lineage: Bacteria; Pseudomonadati; Pseudomonadota; Gammaproteobacteria; Enterobacterales; Enterobacteriaceae.
CUGGGAAACUGCCUGAUGGAGGGGGAUAACUACUGGAAACGGUAGCUAAUACCGCAUAACGUCGCAAGACCAAAGAGGGGGACCUUCGGGCCUCUUGCCAUCGGAUGUGCCCAGAUGGGAUUAGCUAGUAGGUGGGGUAACGGCUCACCUAGGCGACGAUCCCUAGCUGGUCUGAGAGGAUGACCAGCCACACUGGAACUGAGACACGGUCCAGACUCCUACGGGAGGCAGCAGUGGGGAAUAUUGCACAAUGGGCGCAAGCCUGAUGCAGCCAUGCCGCGUGUAUGAAGAAGGCCUUCGGGUUGUAAAGUACUUUCAGCGGGGAGGAAGGGAGUAAAGUUAAUACCUUUGCUCAUUGACGUUACCCGCAGAAGAAGCACCGGCUAACUCCGUGCCAGCAGCCGCGGUAAUACGGAGGGUGCAAGCGUUAAUCGGAAUUACUGGGCGUAAAGCGCACGCAGGCGGUUUGUUAAGUCAGAUGUGAAAUCCCCGGGCUCAACCUGGGAACUGCAUCUGAUACUGGCAAGCUUGAGUCUCGUAGAGGGGGGUAGAAUUCCAGGUGUAGCGGUGAAAU